UAGAGUUUGAUCAUGGCUCAGGACGAACGCUGGCGGCGUGCCUAAUACAUGCAAGUCGAGCGGGCCCUUCGGGCUAGCGGCGGACGGGUGAGUAACACGUAGGCAACCUGCCUGUAAGAUGGGGAUAACUAUCGGAAACGAUAGCUAAGACCGAAUAAGUAGCCCGGGCGCAUGCCGGGGCUAAGAAACACGGAGCAAUCUGUGGCUUACAGAUGGGCCUGCGGCGCAUUAGCUAGUUGGCAGGGUAACGGCCUACCAGGGCGACGAUGCGUAGCCGACCUGAGAGGGUGAACGGCCACACUGGGACUGAGACACGGCCCAGACUCCUACGGGAGGCAGCAGUAGGGAAUCUUCCGCAAUGGACGCAAGUCUGACGGAGCAACGCCGCGUGAGUGAUGAAGGUUCUCGGAUCGUAAACCUCUGUCUAGAGGGAAGAUAAUGACGGUACCUCUGGAGGAAGCCACGGCUAACUACGUGCCAGCAGCCGCGGUAAUAC
This 496-nucleotide ribosomal RNA is filed under the name uncultured Paenibacillus sp. RNAcentral describes it as "bacterial SSU rRNA". It matches the Rfam family "Bacterial small subunit ribosomal RNA", at positions 1 to 526 of the family's 1533-position model. The record is from RNAcentral. Lineage: Bacteria; Bacillati; Bacillota; Bacilli; Caryophanales; Paenibacillaceae.